GUCACAGUGGAGACAUUCUGGCAUGUGGGAAGGCUGGGGAGGAGGUCAUGCCCAGGGUGCCUGUGGUACCUACCACCUAUAGCAUAUGCUGCUGAACAGCUACUCUGAUUUGAUGUCUUCUUUGACCUAGUCACAGAGAAGAGUUUCUCUGAAACUGGGGAUGGUAGCCUCACCUCCUCCCGUUGUAUCUGGCUGUCUCCAGGGAUAUUUCUCCUUUCAAGCACUUAUGAUCCCUUCUGUGCUUUGAAGUAGGGACAGGUCUCCUUCCAGGGAACCCAAGAUGGUACAGAAGCUGGUUGUCAAAUUCAAUCUCAGUUUUACAAGUGGAGAAACCCUACCCUGCAGCAGACCUGCCACCCACCACCGUCCGCCCUAGGAGCUCUAGCAGACGCCCUUAGCUGAAACUUCAGGCCUCCAUGCUGCAACCAAAUAUUCAAGUGCUUUACAACAAAAGGCAGACACAACAAAGUCAUUAAAAGGUAAUCUGCACCCUGUUUCCUGAAGCUUGGCGUUCUCAGCGGCCCCCUCUCAGCCUGUACUUGCGAAAGAUGCCGACCUCAUCUGGGUUGAAGUAACCAAGGAGACCAAAAUGAUUCCUGCAAAAUGACUGAGUGACACUUUCAGAGAUGCAAUCCUAGUUCCUUUCUAAGAAGGCUGUAUAAAUUAUAGGUUGGAGGGUCAGAAGGCCGAUUUCCAAAAUGCUUGAGAGGUAGAGAGUGGUGUGUAGGGGUGAGGAAUGAGGAAGGUGAGAGGAAUCUGAGUGGGCCGCCACCCCCUUUCAUUCCUUUCCACUGUACGUACCCGCAGGGAAGUCCACCUGCUGCUCCUCCCCUGUCCCCAUGACCUAGCGGCAGUGGUUUGACCAUAGCCUCUCUCGAGAAUAGCACCUUUUGGUGUGAAACAGGUGAGACUCCAGAUUCCUGUUGAUUCUAAAAAUCGUUAAUGGCCUUCUGUAAUCAUCA
Molecule: non-coding RNA, 962 nt
Organism: Microcebus murinus (gray mouse lemur)
Lineage: Eukaryota; Metazoa; Chordata; Mammalia; Primates; Cheirogaleidae
Source: RefSeq, a predicted model, not a curated record